CCUGUGUCACCAGAGACUGAGAAGCAGAAUGAGGUCACACUUCCUGUUGGGCUCACAUCAGUGGCAUUCACGCCCAGGAGGAUGGUGAAACCUCCAGUCUUCUGGACCAGCGACAGGCUUACACGCUUUGAAGAAGCAAGCUGCCAUGUUGGAAAAGCACACACGACCAGAAUCUGAGGGGUUAUCUGAAAUGCCAGUGAAGGACUGAAGCCCUCAGUCCGAUGGCUGGGAAUCCACUCAACCGCCACUGAUAAAUUCACUCCUCGGCCAGACUGUAAGCUUUAUGAAGGCAGAGAGCUUUGUCAUUUUUCUUCAUUGCUGGAGACCCAACAUCAAGGAUCCUGCCUGCCAAGAAACAGGGUUCUCUUCGUCUCUGUCGUCCCCAGCGGCAAACACAAGGCGGAUGCAAAGCAAGUCCUCAGAAGAUGCGUGUGUUCAUGGAGUCACAGAGCAUGAAACGACCACCCUCGGAGACGCCAGUGACUGGAAAUACGUGUCCCUGUGACUGGUGACAAAGAAACAUCAAGAAAUACCUGGCAUUGGUAUGUCGAUGAUAAUUUGCAAAACGUGUAAGAUUUGUUCUAUCGAAUUCGAUGUUCAUCACAACCCUGUGAAGUAGAUUUCCAACUCCCAUUUCUAUGUGAGGAAAGGAGCACCCGAGAAGGGUCUGGUUCCCAAACACUCUGGUAAAAGUGUCGGGUUUCACUUAACGACUCCUGGUUUUAUUCCAAACCCCUUGGCUCCAGAAUGCUUCAUCAUCUUAAAUUGCUAUAAAAAAAAAUAAUAAUCAUGGCAAGAAAUGAGUUAACGCAUGGAUUUCCUUUAAACGUAUAUGGUCUCCUAUGAUCUUCCUGAUACCCGUAGUUCUAAAUAAGAAAAGAAAGAAAACCGAAGGGUGUUUACUCUGAUCCUGAGGAAACGAACUCUGUUGAAUGUUUUGCAAAAAUACAAAAGAGGAAGUCAUCCAAUACCUGACCACAACGCGGUGUGGCUGCAAUAUUUUUUUAGCGAGGCAAGCCAGUCAACUGUGGCCAUGUUUGUACAGGCAAGUUCUCUGCCCCUCCCCCAGAGGGGAACCUUUUCAUCUGCGCGUCAGGCGUUUACUUUGGAGACGGUGGCAUUGUGUUCGGGUCCCGACCAAGAGAGCAGACGCUUAGACCAAUGGCCAAGGGACCAGCUAGAGCACAUACUCUGACCCUGCACGUUCUUGCUUGCUGACAGUCAACGUUGUAGCCAACCCACCUGUUUGUCUGUUUCACUGCCCAGUUCAGUGCCUCAGGAUGGGGAAUUAAGCCUAUUGAUCGUCAGCUCCUGGGGCCUAGCACUGACUUGGCCCGUAUUCCAUAAAUGCCUGUGGCAAGGAAAUGGAAGCGGAAUGAUAUUUUUUACUUGCCAGAGCCUGAAUCGAAGCUAUAAAGAACUAGAAGGCAAUAAUAAUUUUAGAAUCUGCACGGGCCUCUUGUUUGAAGCUUACUCCUCCGCAAAGUGUUUUCCAAAUGCCGCUUCCUCUCUGCAGUCUUCCUAGAUUUGCGGAGUCAGCAGAAGCACACCAAGAUAUGUCUAUUUCAAACCCGUGAAUAUUUAAUUGAAUGUUAAUAUUGAUACCGGGCUUGUUGUUUCUAUACCCAUCGCCCCAUCAUGGCAAGUUACCUUAGAACUGGAUACCUGGUUUUAUUUUUCUUCCUGUUCUCUCACUGUGUAUUGCCCAGUUCCUAGCACUCGGUAGAAUUUCAGUAAAAGAUUGUUGGGUGAUUACACAAAUAAAUGAAUAAGGGAAGAAUGAAA
Long non-coding RNA from Felis catus (domestic cat), 1785 nucleotides. RefSeq lists it as uncharacterized. The record is from RefSeq and is a predicted model, not a curated record. NCBI's taxonomy places the organism in Eukaryota, Metazoa, Chordata, Mammalia, Carnivora, Felidae. The transcript is spliced from 4 exons.